RNAcentral lists this ribosomal RNA (363 nucleotides) under Triticum aestivum (bread wheat). RNAcentral's name for it is "partial small subunit ribosomal RNA". Lineage: Eukaryota; Viridiplantae; Streptophyta; Magnoliopsida; Poales; Poaceae. The record is from RNAcentral.
AUGAAGAACACCCUCUCGGAGAUGCUCGUGACAACGGACAAGUCCCCAAGUACAUGGACGAAGGAGCACGACAAAAGGAACCGGAGAAGGCCUACAGGCCCCGGACAUCCGGACAUCCGGCCCCUGGAGAUGUCAACCACAGCAGCAGCUCAAUCGAAGACCACCUACACACACCGGACAUCCGGCUCAGCCCCAGACAUCCGGCCCAGCCCCGGAAAUCCAGCACCUCCUAUACAGAGAGAACCCGAAACCGGCCCCCGCCAGCCCGAACAUCCGACCCGACGUGAAGGCCCGGACAUCCAGCCCCUCCUGCCUGCGCGCAUUGUAUCUGGGCCGAGGCCCACGUACCCCUUCGCCCCCUAG